UUUGUGCUCUUUCGGAAAAACCGGAGAGAAGACCGUCUAGACAAGGUAUUGAGAUGGAAGAGGAACCUUAUGUAGCUUUGUUGGUGACCCACAGCACUUUGAACGGAUUCUAGUGCGGUGAGAACCACAAACUCAAUGCUCUGUGAGGCUCGCUUGAUCUACAGGUCUACAGGGGGCCUCUGCUUGUGUUCUGGCCUGUGAUUCUCCUUCCUGUGACCAAGAAUUUUAACAGAACAGCAUAAAAUGGAAGCACAAAAGACAGCCAAAGAGGUGAAGAGGGAUGGCCCAAUUCUACCAAGAAUGCAAACAAAGGAGACACCACCAAAAAACCUGGGCCCUGAGCUGCUAAUAAGUAGCUGAGGACUCACUGCAAAGAGAGGGGAGUUCAGACCGAAGUGCUGACUCACCACACUGGUGUGGAUUUGAAGUCACGAGUACGUUGUCAGCAUAUAACGCACCUGGCCAAAGGCUGGGGGCUGCGGUGCCUUGUUGGGACCUCCAGGAAAACUGUGGACAGAAAGGAAGACCACCUAGGUUCACAGAUGGAGAGGAAUUGUGUCUCACGAUUCUCAGGAAUUGUGUCCAGACGUACAGGAUGUUUUCAUCACUCCGAAAAGAAACCCCGCACCUAUUAUCAGUCACUCUCCAGCCCCUGCCCUCAGCCCUAGCCUUUUAUAACCAUGCUGGAAAACCGUCUGGCAGUGUCUGCUGAAGCUACUCACACCCAUACUUUAUGACGCAGCAACUGAACGCCCGGGAAUCCAGGUUGACAGACACUCUACCAUCACUGAGCUGACUCACCGGGAACCCAGGACCUCCAGGACCCCUGUAACAAGAGAAGAGAAGGCAUGGAGGGAGGACACGGGCUCCUGAAUGCUUCAGCUCACUAGUGAUAUCACCUCAUUUCUGCUCUCAGCGCCUUUGCCAGAACCAGUCACCUGGCCUCCAUCUAACCAACAGGGAGGCUGGGAAAUGAGGAAGAACCAUUUGAUUAUUAUCAGUGAACAAUAAAUAUCUAAAUGUC
This is a long non-coding RNA of Neofelis nebulosa (Clouded leopard), 1024 nucleotides long. RefSeq lists it as uncharacterized. The record is from RefSeq and is a predicted model, not a curated record. The transcript is spliced from 5 exons. Lineage: Eukaryota; Metazoa; Chordata; Mammalia; Carnivora; Felidae.